UACGUAGGGGGCAAGCGUUGUCCGGAUUUAUUGGGCGUAAAGAGCUCGUAGGCGGUUCCGUAAGUCGGGUGUGAAAAAUCUGGGCUCAACCCAGUGGAGCACCCGAUACUGCGGUGACUCGAGUCCGGUAGGGGAGUGUGGAAUUCCUGGUGUAGCGGUGAAAUGCGCAGAUAUCAGGAGGAACACCGGUGGCGAAGGCGGGUCUCUGGGCCGUAACUGACGCUGAGGAGCGAAAGCGUGGGGAGCGAACAGG
RNAcentral lists this ribosomal RNA (253 nucleotides) under uncultured bacterium. Its description in RNAcentral is "partial 16S ribosomal RNA". It matches the Rfam family "Bacterial small subunit ribosomal RNA", at positions 524 to 776 of the family's 1533-position model. The record is from RNAcentral.